Molecule: ribosomal RNA, 468 nt
Filed under: uncultured bacterium
Lineage: Bacteria
Description: partial 16S ribosomal RNA
Rfam family: Bacterial small subunit ribosomal RNA
Source: RNAcentral
GACGAACGCUGGCGGCGUGCUUAACACAUGCAAGUCGAACGGAAAGGCCCUGCUUUUGUGGGGUGCUCGAGUGGCGAACGGGUGAGUAACACGUGAGUAACCUGCCCUUGACUUUGGGAUAACUUCAGGAAACUGGGGCUAAUACCGGAUAGGAGCUCCUGCUGCAUGGUGGGGGUUGGAAAGUUUCGGCGGUUGGGGAUGGACUCGCGGCUUAUCAGCUUGUUGGUGGGGUAGUGGCUUACCAAGGCUUUGACGGGUAGCCGGCCUGAGAGGGUGACCGGCCCCCUUGGGCCUGAGAUACGGCCCAGACUCCUACGGGAGGCAGCAGUGGGGAAUAUUGCACAAUGGGCGGAAGCCUGAUGCAGCAACGCCGCGUGCGGGAUGACGGCCUUCGGGUUGUAAACCGCUUUCGCCUGUGACGAAGCGUGAGUGACGGUAAUGGGUAAAGAAGCACCGGCUAACUACGUG